Molecule: long non-coding RNA, 173 nt
Filed under: Monodelphis domestica (gray short-tailed opossum)
Lineage: Eukaryota; Metazoa; Chordata; Mammalia; Didelphimorphia; Didelphidae
Description: lncRNA (ENSMODG00000046110.1)
Source: RNAcentral
UCUCAAGGAAAAACUUUGGGGAUUAAACCACCUGGAACUGGGAAAUUGAUAUUUCCUCCACCUUCAUAUGGAACCAUGAGCCCAGUGAAAAAUUAGAAAUAAUGCUUUGGAACGUAUGGUUAAUAAAAUAUUUCAUUGUGGUUAUUGCUUGUUCUUUACAAGAAGGCAUUUGA